UUCACUUGGGCAUGUGUAGUCCCAGCUACUCGGGAGGCUGAGGUGGGAGGAUUGCUUGAGCCCAGGAGUUCUGGGCUGUAGUGUGCUAUGCCCAUUGGGUGUCCACACUAAGUUCAGCAUUAAUAUGGUGACCUCCCGGGAGUGAGGGAACUACCAGGUUGCCUAAGGAGGGGUAAACCGACCCAGUUCGGAAAUGGAGCAGGUCAAAACUCCUGUGCUGAUCAGUAUUGGGAUCGCGCCUGUGAAUAGCCACUGCACUCCAGCCUGGGCAACAUAGCAAGACCCCCGUCUCU
Molecule: signal recognition particle RNA, 293 nt
Filed under: Saimiri boliviensis boliviensis (Bolivian squirrel monkey)
Lineage: Eukaryota; Metazoa; Chordata; Mammalia; Primates; Cebidae
Description: Metazoan signal recognition particle RNA (ENSSBOG00000002862.1)
Rfam family: Metazoan signal recognition particle RNA
About the family: The signal recognition particle (SRP) is a universally conserved ribonucleoprotein. It is involved in the co-translational targeting of proteins to membranes.
Source: RNAcentral